GAUAAACGCUGGCGGCGUGCCUAAUACAUGCAAGUCGAACGAAGGGUUUGUAGCAAUACGGGCCCUUAGUGGCGAAUGGGUGAGUAACGCGUUGGUGAUCUGCCCCGAAGUAAGGAAUAACAGCUCGAAAGGGCUGCUAAUACCACAUGUGGUCGUGAGGAUUAGAUGCCUUGCGUCUAAAGCAGCAAUGCGCUUCGGGAGGAACCUGCGUCCCAUCAGCUAGUUGGUGAGGUAACGGCUCACCAAGGCUACGACGGGUAGGGGGCCUGAGAGGGUAGCCCCCCACACUGGCACUGAAACACGGGCCAGACACCUACGGGAGGCAG
Molecule: ribosomal RNA, 326 nt
Filed under: uncultured Chloroflexota bacterium
Lineage: Bacteria; Bacillati; Chloroflexota
Description: bacterial SSU rRNA
Rfam family: Bacterial small subunit ribosomal RNA
Source: RNAcentral